RNAcentral lists this ribosomal RNA (527 nucleotides) under Bombus trinominatus. Its description in RNAcentral is "partial 16S ribosomal RNA". It matches the Rfam family "Bacterial large subunit ribosomal RNA", at positions 1885 to 2626 of the family's 2925-position model. Lineage: Eukaryota; Metazoa; Arthropoda; Insecta; Hymenoptera; Apidae. The record is from RNAcentral.
GGCUUAUAGAUAAUAAUUUUAGGUCAAUCUGCCCAAUGAUUUUAAAUUGAAUGGCUGCAGUAUAAUUGACUGUACAAAGGUAGCAUAAUCAGUUGUCUUUUAAUUGAGGACUAGUAUGAAAGAAUUAAUGAGAUAUAUUCUGUCUCAUAUAUAUUUAAUGAAUUUAAAAUUUUAGUAAAAAUGCUAAAAUAAAUUUAUGGGACGAUAAGACCCUAUAGAAUUUUAUAUUAAUAUUUUAUUAAUUAUUUAAUUGAAGUAUUAAUAUUUAAUUGGGAGGAUUAAUAAAUUAAAAGAACUUUAUUUUAAAAUUAAACUUUGAUUUUAGAAUAUAUUUUGAUCUUUUAUUAAAAAUUAAAAGAAUAAAUUACCUUAGGGAUAACAGCGUAAUAUCUUUUUAAAGAUCGUAUUGAUAAAGGUGUUUGCGACCUCGAUGUUGAAUUAAGAUAAAUUUUAAAUGGAGAAAUUUAAAAAUUAAGUCUGUUCGACUUUUAAAAUCUUACAUGAUUUGAGUUCAAAUCGACGUGAGU